This 20-nucleotide microRNA is filed under the name Mus musculus (house mouse). RNAcentral describes it as "mmu-miR-6956-3p". The record is from miRBase by way of RNAcentral. Lineage: Eukaryota; Metazoa; Chordata; Mammalia; Rodentia; Muridae.
UGACCGGCCUAUCCUCUCAG